This is a long non-coding RNA of Etheostoma spectabile (orangethroat darter), 428 nucleotides long. RefSeq lists it as uncharacterized. The transcript is spliced from 3 exons. The record is from RefSeq and is a predicted model, not a curated record. NCBI's taxonomy places the organism in Eukaryota, Metazoa, Chordata, Actinopteri, Perciformes, Percidae.
UGACGCUAAAGUAGCCAUGAUGUAUAGCCACGGAUGUGCCACCUGCUACCGAUGACGGUCGAACGGUUAAUAUCAUAGUUAGCGUUAAUAUCAACGGUAACGUAACUUCUGAACAUAUAUAAUAAAUAUUUAGAAAUAACGUGGAACUUAUAGGUGUGACGGCGUCUAUGACUGCAACAUUGAAACUACAGAUCCAGGAUGAUGACAAUUGCAUCAGGGGAAUAGGAUGCCAAAUCUCUCACAGCUUUCAUGAGUUGGUGAUCCUGUCUCAACCCAUGCUGCCUGGUUAUGCCAUACAACAUAUCUUUAGCACACAUAGGCCUAUGUGACAGCAAUACCAGUAGAUCAAAAUGAAUGGCGUGACACUGAUUGGGACAGACAGCAUCAUUAAAAUAAAGCCUGGCAUGUAGUGAACACUGAUGAAGCCG